Molecule: non-coding RNA, 4102 nt
Organism: Camellia sinensis
Lineage: Eukaryota; Viridiplantae; Streptophyta; Magnoliopsida; Ericales; Theaceae
Source: RefSeq, a predicted model, not a curated record
UCAUCUCUAAACUUUGGUAAUUGAUGUUGCAAGACUACUUUACAUUUGGAAGUUCAAUAAGUUUUGAUUAUUCACACUACUACAAUAAUGCUUAAAGAUCGCAUAAGAAAAAUUAAAAAUAUCUCAUUUUUAUUAUAAGUGUAAUUAAAAAAAUUAAAUAAUAUUUCAAUCAUAGUUAAUUUAGUUGAGUGAGAUAAUAUUUAUUUUUAAUCUCAACAUCCAAGUGUGAUUAUAUAAUUUUUUUUUAAUCACAGUUUCUGUAUAAGUGUGAUUGUGUAUAUAUUUUUAAUUUUAUUUUUAUAUUUAUAUAAUUAGGCAUGAGGGUUUUUGAAUUUGUCCUAAGGAAAAAUAUUAUAGGUACCAAAUUUUCUACCAAACAAAUGAUUAAAUGUCUCACAUAAAUGUGAGGUCUAUAAAAUUACAGAGCCACAUUUAAUCAUUUAUUUAAUAUAAAAUUUGGUAUUCCUAACAUUACCUUAUCCUAAGUGAUAAGAAAUUGUCUUAGAAAUACAUUUAUAACCAACUAUUCAGAUCAAUAUCAAAAUCUAAGGGCCAAAUAUAUAACAUUGCCUGCCUCUUUGGAUUCCUGCUCAUGAAUACCAAUCACACCUCCCCCUAUCUUUCACAGACGUCCUCCACUCUCUCUCUCUCUCUCUUCUUGGUUUUACCUAUGGCAACUUUGUUGAAAUUCGAGUGCACUAUUUGAUCAAAUACAAGGUAGACCGGUCGACACAACCAACGAGAAAGAGAAAGCGCCAUCAAGAUCGAUAUAGGGGGUUCUGAAAUGGACAGUAGGAGAAUUACUACCAGUCCUUGGCUGUGAUGACCGAGAAAGAUGUAGGCCCCCAAAGUCCAUCAAGGACCAAGGUUGAGAGCUGUGAGUUUUCUCUAUUCCAACUGCGCCUUCUAGUAAGUUUCUCCUUUAUCCUUUAUUCCCAAUUUUACUACUUUAAAUUAAGUUCCAUUUGGAUACUCUCUCUCAUGCUUUUGUGUUUUUGUGGGUAUGCUUUCUUUCAUAUUUGUCAAUUGAUUUGGUAAGCAAUUUCAUCAAAAAAAAAUUUUGUUAACCAAUGCUUUUAUCAAUUGAUGUCAUGAAAUGGUUAUGUAAUAUAUCUUUUUUUGUUUCAAAUUAGAAGGUACUCCCUAUGAUUUUAUUUUUCCUUUAAAAUGAGCGGUUUCUUCGCUACAUAGCCGUGGUGUGUCAACCUCUUAAGCAAUUUCGGAGUUCAUAUUAAUUCAAACCAUGGACAAUAUCAAUAUCAACAUCAAUAUUGAGGCCUAAUUUUUACUUAUUAUUAUAUCUAAUUUCUUCAUAAUAAAAUGCUUUUGUAUCAUGUUUAACAGCUGUAUAAACGGGUAAUAUUAGAUCCAUAUACCAAUUUUUUUUUUAAUUUAAUCUGCAUUUUCUUAAUGAGUUGUACUACAUGUAAAUAUGACAUAACUUUCAUCAUUGUAGUUUUUGUAUGUUUUUUUUUCCUCUAAAUUAUCUGCCAAUUGGGGUUUUGUACUAAAAAGACAAUCUCCAACACUAGAAAAUGUACUGAUACAAUGCCAUAGAAGUUACAAAAACACAUACACGUACCCUGCAUCUGCAGCUGGUACUCUAAGCAGUUGCUUGUCUUUGGGCCCAUUGUCCUAUGCUACCAUGGUGGUGAACUAAAGGAAGAUUGGUUGCUGAUGGAUUAUUAUGAGAGCUCUACAGCAACUUACCAUUUUCUUUCAAUGGUCGUCAUCCCUGUUCCUAUGCUUCUAGAGACCUCAGCUUCAGCUUUAAUCUUACAAGCCUUACAUCAGUUCACAUUUGCAGCCUUAUUAGCAGCCUUAGUGACACGUGAAUGUGACCCCCAAAAAAAAAAUAAAAAAUUGACAAGUAGUUCUGUUAGCACUUGAUCUUUUCUCGUAACAUGUAGCUUGAAUUGUUCAUAUUCUUUAACAUCUCUUGUGGUCAAAAGUUAUGAAUCUCUUGAUUGCCUAUUGUAAUAUCUCUUCACUUUCACAUAUACAUCAUGCACUUUGAUCAUGGAAUGCAAGUAGUUUUUGUGAAUAUUAUUUGCACAUAGAUUGGCAAGCAUAAGUUAUCGCUCUUUAAGAGCGUUGUGUUGAUUUCUGAUGCGUAUCAAGAAUAUGGAUAUGCAAGCUUCAAAGGAAUUCCUUGCUGAACUGAAGGUGUAGUAUUUGAUAUGGAUUUUGUUAACAUUUAGAACCUAGAGUAAUUGGAAUUGAUUUCAUUUUUGGGAAUCCUUUUUAUUUUUAAUCCUCCAGAAUUUAACAUCAUAUUAUGGUAAUUUGAUGACCAUUAUAUUUACAUUGUGCCAUUUACCAGCAGUUAAGAGUCCUCGGGCUUUAGAUGGAGUUGGGAUUUGCUCUGUUUUUUCUCUGUUGGCUACUUGUACCUAACCACCACUGUACACACACUAGGGAAAAUGAUAUCAACCUUCACUUGAUCAACUCACACAACACAUCAAACUGGGGUUGAACUCCAUUAAACACACACUCAAUGCUUAUUGCUUUGUGGACUGCUUUAACUCAUAAAACAGGGCACCUCAAUAUAUAGCUACAUAAUAAACUUUCAUGUGGUGUAAACCUUUUGCACUGUGACUUGUGGAUGGACUCGUGCAAUGUAUUACCUGUUUAGUCUAAUCUGGUUUUAAAAUUACUCAACUGCACCCAAAUAGCAACUCUUAAGUCUUGCUAGUAGAUUAUGUUGACAACACAUCACCACUAUGACUAUUGUAUUGUUCAUGUGGCACAAUUUGAGUGCCUUACUGAAGUAACAAUGCCCAAAUGGUUUCCUAUAAAAAUUGGUUUUUAAUGUUAGUUUAUUAAUUUGAAUCUUUCAAUUGGAGUCAUAGAACUUUUUACAAGAUUGUAUGAAGUUUCUUCGUUUUACAUGGCAUAUUUUUCAGUGGUGCUCUUUGCCUGCUGGCUGCAUUCCAGUAGCGAUUAUUAUGUGUGAAUUUCAGAAUUUGAAAAAUUCGUUCAAAUUUGCUUGGGUUUCAAAAUUUUGUUUUUAAAUAACAUGAGUUUGGUUAAAAAACUUUAAUUAUUGUCAUUAGACUUGAAUGUUCUCCAAAGUUUUCUCUUGGAAGGUCAAAACAUGAAAUAAUCUAUAUCCAUUAGUGUCUAGUUAAAUUUUUAGUAUUUUAUUUCAACCUUCUUAUGGAGUAUUUUCCUACUUUGAAUCGUUUAAAUGUUAGGUCGUUACCCUCAAGUAACGCGUUGCGCUUGCCUCCUGGUGUUUCAAAAAGUGAGCAAGGGGCGCUGCAUCGACGCUUGGGUGCGGUGAAAAACGGGCAAAGGUUUCCGCGUUUUUUUGGACGAGCGCGGGUAAAGAAGCUAGUCCAAAACUACAGGUUUAGGGUAGCCACUUGGAAUAUAGGAACCUUAACUGAUAAGACGAUGGAAUUGGUAGAUGUUAUGAUUAGGAGGAGAGUUAGUAUAGCUUGCGUACAAGAAACUAAGUGAACGGGUGAGAAAGCUAGAGAAAUUAAGGAUACUGGUUUUAAACUGUAUUAUAGUGGGUAACGACAGAUGCAGAAAUGUGGUAGGAAUCAUAAUUGUCAAGAAUCUGGUGGAGAAUGUAGUGGCGGUCAUUAGGAAAUGGGAUAGGAUUAUGCUAGUUAAACUAGUUAUUGGAGGGAAUAUAGUAAACGUUAUUACUGCAUACGCCCCUCAAGUAGGAUUAGAUGAUCAGACUAACAAGGAUUUUUGGGAGCAAAUGGAUGAGAUCUUACAAGAGAUGCCCGUAGGAGAAAACCUGGUUAUAAGUAGAAAUUUUAAUGGCUAUGUAGGCAUAGAUAAACUAGGCUAUGAAAGGGUGCAUGGUGGAUACGGUUUUGGUGACAAAAAUGAGGCUGGAGAGAGUAUCUUAGAUUUUGCGUUGGCUUCUGACAUGGUGGUGGCCAAUGCUAUGUAUAAGAAGAGGGAGAAGCAUUUGAUAACUUUUAAGAGUAGGUCAGUUAAGGGCUAAAUAGAUUAUUUCUUAGUGAGAAAAGUGGACCGCUUAAAAUGCAAUGAUUGUAAGGUGAUUCCUAGAGAGAGCCUGACCUCUCAACAUAGGAUUUUGGUACUAGAUUUAUGUUUUAGAGGGCAAUACCAAGAU